ACUACCUGCUUCAGCCCCAUAAUGGGAAUGCAGCACUCGAUUCCAGUAGCCUCCACCCAAACAUUCAGGUGAACACAGGUGAGCUCUUCAGCUCUGCAGUCUUGUUGCCCUGCACCUCUCCUGUCAAUCAGAACCACAGCACGCGAACGGCACCGUACCCACAACGGGAGCCUGCUUCAGCGAGGAGGAGCGGGAGCACUGGGCCGAGGAGGCCUGCCUGGAGGUGUCCGAGCUGACGUGGGAGCCGGCGUCCUCCACCCCCUCGGCCGUGGCCAUCAGAGAGGCCCUGUAGUAGGCCAGGGGCAGCCAGCAGUCGUCCUUGCUGCUGACGGCCUCCCCAACGCACUUCUGCAGUGCUCCCAUUGGAGAAGUUCACAUGGAAGCCCUGGAGCUGCACCUCCUUUCAUGUGCCGACAGUCAGUGACACCGCUCCCAUUUUGGUGUGAUGUUUCAAGAUGAAACAGCUCCUGGAUCAUCCCCUGUGCAGUGGCCCUAUCCUUCCUCUGCCGCCACCUGACACUGCAGGUGCCAUUUGUCGAUAAAUGGUGCGAUUUUGGUGUGAUUUGUCUGUAAAUUAAAUCAGGUGCAUAUCUUCAUCCAUAUUCUUUUUGAGUUCAUAAAGUCCUGCCUUCUGCAGUUACCCUUCCCUUUACAGACACAUUGUAUGGGUGAAGAUCUGGAAUUUUGAGACAGAAGCAACACUUCUUAGUGGCAGGAAAGUCUGAAAAAGACCUGUCAAAUACUUUGAGUUAUCAGACUGAUAAGAUCAAGUGUCUGAGGCUCCUUUUCCUCUGCUGUCACUACACGGUGCUGCUUCAGUUUUGCUGUGACUGGUCUCAAAAUUUGA
This is a non-coding RNA of Paramormyrops kingsleyae, 847 nucleotides long. Lineage: Eukaryota; Metazoa; Chordata; Actinopteri; Osteoglossiformes; Mormyridae. The record is from RefSeq and is a predicted model, not a curated record.